This 23-nucleotide non-coding RNA is filed under the name Cricetulus griseus (Chinese hamster). The record is from RNAcentral. Lineage: Eukaryota; Metazoa; Chordata; Mammalia; Rodentia; Cricetidae.
UGACUCUGGGAGAAAGGCCAGCA